This 177-nucleotide non-coding RNA is filed under the name Staphylococcus carnosus. Its description in RNAcentral is "Lysine sequence". It matches the Rfam family "Lysine riboswitch aptamer". Rfam says of the family: Riboswitches are metabolite binding domains within certain messenger RNAs that serve as precision sensors for their corresponding targets. Allosteric rearrangement of mRNA structure is mediated by ligand binding, and this results in modulation of gene expression. This family includes riboswitches that sense lysine in a number of genes involved in lysine metabolism, including lysC. The record is from RNAcentral. Lineage: Bacteria; Bacillati; Bacillota; Bacilli; Caryophanales; Staphylococcaceae.
CUAUUUUGAUGAGGCGCAUCAAUCAUAAGUAUUUGUCGUUUUAACUGUCUGCUUACAGUCGGCAAAGAAAGGGUGAGAUGCCGAAGUAAUCAUAAAGGCGAGUUAUGGUUAUUGGACUUUCAGGUUAAGAGCUAAAAGUCUGUCAUUAUUACCAAAUAAUGGAGUGCAUCACUUGUA